RNAcentral lists this ribosomal RNA (258 nucleotides) under Providencia rettgeri. RNAcentral describes it as "partial 16S ribosomal RNA". It matches the Rfam family "Bacterial small subunit ribosomal RNA", at positions 1 to 255 of the family's 1533-position model. Lineage: Bacteria; Pseudomonadati; Pseudomonadota; Gammaproteobacteria; Enterobacterales; Morganellaceae. The record is from RNAcentral.
UUUAAUUGAAGAGUUUGAUCAUGGCUCAGAUUGAACGCUGGCGGCAGGCCUAACACAUGCAAGUCGAGCGGUAACAGGGGAAGCUUGCUUCUCGCUGACGAGCGGCGGACGGGUGAGUAAUGUAUGGGGAUCUGCCCGAUAGAGGGGGAUAACUACUGGAAACGGUAGCUAAUACCGCAUAAUCUCUCAGGAGCAAAGCAGGGGAACUUCGGUCCUUGCGCUAUCGGAUGAACCCAUAUGGGAUUAGCUAGUAGGUGA